RNAcentral lists this ribosomal RNA (560 nucleotides) under Roseicyclus sp. RNAcentral describes it as "bacterial SSU rRNA". It matches the Rfam family "Bacterial small subunit ribosomal RNA", at positions 42 to 650 of the family's 1533-position model. The record is from RNAcentral. Lineage: Bacteria; Pseudomonadati; Pseudomonadota; Alphaproteobacteria; Rhodobacterales; Roseobacteraceae.
GCGCGGCUACCAUGCAAGUCGAGCGAGAUCUUCGGAUCUAGCGGCGGACGGGUGAGUAACGCGUGGGAACGUGCCCUUCUCUACGGAAUAGUCCCGGGAAACUGGGUUUAAUACCGUAUACGCCCUUCGGGGGAAAGAUUUAUCGGAGAAGGAUCGGCCCGCGUUGGAUUAGGUAGUUGGUGGGGUAAUGGCCUACCAAGCCGACGAUCCAUAGCUGGUUUGAGAGGAUGAUCAGCCACACUGGGACUGAGACACGGCCCAGACUCCUACGGGAGGCAGCAGUGGGGAAUCUUAGACAAUGGGCGCAAGCCUGAUCUAGCCAUGCCGCGUGAGUGACGAAGGCCCUAGGGUCGUAAAGCUCUUUCACCAGGGAUGAUAAUGACAGUACCUGGAGAAGAAACCCCGGCUAACUCCGUGCCAGCAGCCGCGGUAAUACGGAGGGGGUUAGCGUUGUUCGGAAUUACUGGGCGUAAAGCGCGCGUAGGCGGGCUGUUAAGUCGGGGGUGAAAUCCCGGGGCUCAACCCCGGAACUGCCCUCGAUACUGGCAGCCUAGAGUUCG